Non-coding RNA from Cricetulus griseus (Chinese hamster), 1240 nucleotides. The record is from RefSeq and is a predicted model, not a curated record. Lineage: Eukaryota; Metazoa; Chordata; Mammalia; Rodentia; Cricetidae.
CCUGAAACCACAGUGAUUUGGAGAAAAGGAGGCUUAGGUAAAGCCUGAGCCGAUGAUCACACUCAAGUGGAAAACCACCGAUGAACUAAGCCAUCUGAAUGCUGAGAGAGACAAAGUGAGUGAAGGAGAAUCCACAAGAAUGCCAAGGUUCCCAUUUGAACAGAGCAAAUAUAGAAACAUGAAGAAGUUGGUGACUCGCAGGUCAGCAUGCAGUGGCACACAGGUCGACGUGCAGUGGCAUGGGAGGUUUUCCUCUGACCCACUGGAGGAAGUUACAAGCGUGUGAAGAACUUGGCCUGGAUACAUCACUUUCACUAGAAUGUGUACACACAGAUGAUAUGGGUUAGACGGGGACCUGUUCAUCAGGAGCCAAAGGAGACCAUUUCGGAGAUCUGCAACUGAUCAAAAUGCAAAGAACAACUGACCAUCAGGUGCCCAGCCCCAGCUGACACACCUGUAACACAACUCCUGCACCUAAUACUCAGGGAACAUCAUGGAAGAUAGAUCAGAAAGACUGUAAGAGCCAGAGGACCUGUGUAACAGGAGGUCUACUGUAAGAUCCUGUUUCUUCAUAUGUAACAGGAGAUCUACUGUAAGAUCCUGUUUCUUCAUAUGUAACAGGAGAUCUACUGUAAGAUCCUGUUUCUUCAUAUGUAACAAGAGGUCUAUUAUAAGAUCCUGUUUUUUUAUAUGUAACAGGAGGUUUACUGUAAGAUCCUGUUUCUUCACAUGUAACAAGAGGUCUACUGUAAGAUCCUGUUUCUUCAUAUGUAAAGGGGAGCUGCAGUCAUGAAAUCUCAAUAUACGACUGCUUCAGCAAGACCUGGACAAUGACAAUACCAUUUGAUAUGCCAUGUGGGACCACUUCUAGAGGAAGAACUUCAGGCAAUUAACAGUUCCUGAGAGAUUUAUCUUCUCCAAAGAUGAACUCCCUGAAAGGCUACCCAAUCCCCAUGUCAGUCCUAAAAACAUAUGCAUACAAGCCACACUAAAUGCAAUCAACUGGUUUCUUGUGUACACAUAUACAUGUAUGUAUAUACACAUACUAUGUAUGUAUAUACAGUAUAUGUGCACAUGUAACACACAUUACAACAAUAAAGAAUAAGAAGCCAUGAAUUUGUGGAGUAAGGUAAAACAUGGGAGAAACUGGAGGGCAGAAAUGAUGUAAAUAUGUUUUAAUUUAAAAGAUUAAAGACAACAACCACAACCACAAUAAAGCGAUUACUUGAAGGAACUCCUA